GAGGACUCACCCUGUAAGAGGGGCAUGUGGAAUGGGAGGUAUUAUGGCUGCCAUCUUUAGAAAUUACAAUUUGCCACAGGUUGUGUUCCCUAGAAGCAGAGGUUGAAAUAGGGGUUCUUUUGUGAGUUAAGGAAGAGGGAGAAGCUAAGCGAGGAUGUAGCUUCAGGUGAAGUCCAGCUUCAACCUGAUCUUGUAGGCAGCACUGGAUCUCACAUUGUCUGCAGCAUUUGUCCUUCCUUGAGGCAAAAAAGUGGGGCUUUUGUACACACAUAUCAGUCAACCCUUAGCUUAGGGAAGCCCCAGGGGAAGGGUUGUAACUCCUAGGUAUCUCGUAGACAGGCAACUCCUCUUGCUUAAAGGCAUUUCCCAGACAAGGCUUGCUCUGUGAGCCUUUAAUAGCAGUUAAUAAAAAGAUUGCCAGAGAUCUGAUUGGGACUGCAACAGCCUCAGCUACAUUAAGAUAUGGGGGCACAUUCAAGGCCUGUUUUAUAGAGACUAGCAGAGACCAUAUAAGAAUCACUAACAUGAGCUGCAUACGCUGGAGGCCCCUCUGCUGUCAUUAUUUUAUGUGCUGGAAAACGCUGCGAUGGGAAGACAGCCCAGUCAGAUGGGGAUGGCCUGGAAUAGGAGCCAGGAUCUCUUGGCAUACAUUUACCUCAGCCGCACUCUUCAGUGCUCUGCAUCCAGGCUACGCGGAGGCUGCAUGUUACAGGAGCCGUGCAUCCCUGAAGACUUGGAAUAAGUCAAGAUUUACAUAAUCC
RNAcentral lists this long non-coding RNA (761 nucleotides) under Homo sapiens (human). RNAcentral describes it as "non-protein coding lnc-OXNAD1-1:1". Lineage: Eukaryota; Metazoa; Chordata; Mammalia; Primates; Hominidae. The record is from RNAcentral.